RNAcentral lists this long non-coding RNA (1499 nucleotides) under Homo sapiens (human). RNAcentral's name for it is "HSALNT0238908". The record is from RNAcentral. Lineage: Eukaryota; Metazoa; Chordata; Mammalia; Primates; Hominidae.
UUUGCAGAACUACUAGGACGAAGAAUAUUGUUUCAGGCACAGAGUCCCAUUCAGCAGUUGGAUUUGAUCACGGAUCUGUUGGGCACACCAUCACUGGAAGCAAUGAGGACAGCUUGUGAAGGCGCUAAGGCACAUAUACUCAGGGGUCCUCAUAAACAGCCAUCUCUUCCUGUACUCUAUACCCUGUCUAGCCAGGCUACACAUGAAGCUGUUCAUCUCCUUUGCAGGAUGUUGGUCUUUGAUCCAGUAAAAUAUCCGCUAAGGAUGCCUUAGCCCACCCCUACCUAGAUGAAGGGCGACUACGAUAUCACACAUGUAUGUGUAAAUGUUGCUUUUCCACCUCCACUGGAAGAGUUUAUACCAGUGACUUUGAGCCUGUCACCAAUCCCAAAUUUGAUGACACUUUCGAGAAGAACCUCAGUUCUGUCCGACAGGUUAAAGAAAUUAUUCAUCAGUUCAUUUUGGAACAGCAGAAAGGAAACAGAGUGCCUCUCUGCAUCAACCCUCAGUCUGCUGCUUUUAAGAGCUUUAUUAGUUCCACUGUUGCUCAGCCAUCUGAGAUGCCCCCAUCUCCUCUGGUGUGGGAGUGAUGGUGGAAGAUAAUGUACUACUGAAGAUGUAAUGUAGCUUUCCACUGGAGUCUGGGAUUUGCAAUUCUGGAGGUUAAUCAUGCUUGUACUGUAAUUUUACUAAUGAAGUUUUAAAUUAACAACCACUACUUGUAUGAUAUGAAUAAUAUUUAGAAAUGUUACUAGACUUUUAAUCUUGUAAAGUGGUUGUGCUUUUAGAAGAAAAAUAUUUUACCCAGAGUUGCACAUGUUUUAUGAAUUUAGUGCAGCUGUUAUGGCUCACCUCAGAACAAAAGAGAAUUGAACCAAAUUUGGGAGUUUGGGGUUUUAUGUUUUGUUUUUCUUUUCUAAAAUGAAGUGAGAUUGUUCACACACACACACACACACACACACACACACAAACACAAAGGACAGUCAUACAUUUUGAUAUUUGAGCCAUUCCUAAAGAUUUGGGGUUUUCUAAAACUAAAGAAUCUAGGAACCUUGCCUGCGACCAAUCAUGGAGCCACGUGAGCUGAUCGUGGCUGCACCUGGGGGGAGGGUAGGGAGGAGGGGCAUGCCACCUAAUGAUCAAGCCCUAUAAUUAGCUUCUCAUUAGAGCCGUGAUGGUGAUGUGUGCUGUCUAAAAUCCAAUGUUGUGGGUAGAGAGAAUGAGUUUGUGACUAGGAGAGACUAAACUUUUGUUUUCCUUACCCAGUAUAAAUAUAUAUAUAUAUAUUUAAUCUAUUUUUAUUAGAAGUUUUUCUGCUCUUUCUUACAUAAAAGAACCCCAAGCAUGCAUCUUUCAUGUGUGUAAAUAAUUCAUUUCUGGGCUAAUUUCAAAAGAAUCCCAAUAUUGCUGUAUAGAAAGAGAACUAGCUUGCACAUUUUAGGUCUGUGAAAUUUUGUGAGACUUUUCCUGCACUGGACAGUAAAAAAAUAAUAAAAGAC